UUUUAAUUGAAGGCUUGUAUGAAGGGUCGGACAAAGGAUAAGCUGUCUUUAAUCUUUCUUUUGAAUUUGUCUUUUAAGUGAAAAGACUUAAAUUAUUUUAAGGGACGAUAAGACCCUAUAAAGCUUUAUAUUAAUAUAUUUUUAUUUUAAUUUUUAAUGUUUAUAGAGAUAAAGGUAUUGAAAUAUUAUAUUGGGGUGAUAAGAAUAAUUAAUAAACUGUUCUAAAAUAAACAAAGUUAUUUGUAAGCAUAAUAGAUCCUUUAUAUAGAUUGCAAGUUUAAGUUACUUUAGGGAUAACAGCGUUAUUUUUUUUGAGAGUUCUAAUCGAAAAAAAAGUUUGCGACCUCGAUGUUGAAUUAAAAUUUCUUUAUGGUGUAGCCGUUAUAAAAGAAAGUCUGUUCGACUUUUAAAAUUUUACGUGAUCU
RNAcentral lists this ribosomal RNA (425 nucleotides) under Galathea homologa. RNAcentral's name for it is "partial 16S ribosomal RNA". The stretch from base 293 to 425 matches the Rfam family "Bacterial large subunit ribosomal RNA", at positions 2473 to 2606 of the family's 2925-position model. The record is from RNAcentral. Lineage: Eukaryota; Metazoa; Arthropoda; Malacostraca; Decapoda; Galatheidae. RNAcentral also lists the same sequence under 1 other name.